GAUAUGCUUGAAGGGCGAAAUGAAGUAAUUUGUAGCCUGACGUUCUUUUGAUUACAUUAUAAAUUCCUUCUGUUACAGGCACCUGGAUUAACCAUCAGCGUGCCUCAAAGCUCUGCACCUUACUAUAAAGAGCAGUUAUCACGUUUCCGCUACGAUUGCUGUUUGAGCAGCGUCUCGAUGUCGAGGAUUAGUGACUACCUGAAGGACGAGUUUACAGAAAUGAAGCCAGUUGCCUAUCUGGCCACCAAGCCUAGGAUUCCUCCAGAAUAUCUAAAUCCAUACGAGGCACUGAAGCUAAGCACCUUGAAGUACUGGAUUGACAAUGAUCGCUGCAAUAACCUUUGUCCAAUUGUACGAAAGCAAGUUAUCACAAAGUGAGCUGUAGCUACCUCUGAGACCAACACACCAACUCUCCUCUUUGUUGAUGGUUUGCUCAGUGUUGCCCACCUUUUUCAUCAUCCUACUUAUUUCAAUUAAACAGCAGAA
Molecule: long non-coding RNA, 486 nt
Organism: Hypanus sabinus (Atlantic stingray)
Lineage: Eukaryota; Metazoa; Chordata; Chondrichthyes; Myliobatiformes; Dasyatidae
Exons: 4
Source: RefSeq, a predicted model, not a curated record